UACGAAGGGGGCUAGCGUUGCUCGGAAUCACUGGGCGUAAAGCGCACGUAGGCGGAUUGCUAAGUCAGGGGUGAAACCCUGGAGCUCAACUCCAGAACUGCCUUUGAUACUGGUGAUCUUGAGUUCGGGAGAGGUGAGUGGAACUGCGAGUGUAGAGGUGAAAUUCGUAGAUAUUCGCAAGAACACCAGUGGCGAAGGCGGCUCACUGGCCCGAUACUGACGCUGAGGCACGAAAGCGUGGGGAGCGAACAGG
Molecule: ribosomal RNA, 253 nt
Filed under: uncultured bacterium
Lineage: Bacteria
Description: partial 16S ribosomal RNA
Rfam family: Bacterial small subunit ribosomal RNA
Source: RNAcentral